GCCCCUGUAGCUCAGCGGAUAGAGCGCCAGCCUCCGGAGCUGGAAGCCCGAGUUCGAGUCUCGGCAGGGGUACCA
This 75-nucleotide transfer RNA is filed under the name SAR202 cluster bacterium. Its description in RNAcentral is "tRNA-Arg". It matches the Rfam family "tRNA". Rfam says of the family: Transfer RNA (tRNA) molecules are approximately 80 nucleotides in length. The record is from RNAcentral. Lineage: Bacteria; Bacillati; Chloroflexota; Dehalococcoidia.